Molecule: ribosomal RNA, 468 nt
Filed under: uncultured bacterium
Lineage: Bacteria
Description: partial 16S ribosomal RNA
Rfam family: Bacterial small subunit ribosomal RNA
Source: RNAcentral
GACGAACGCUGGCGGCGUGCUUAACACAUGCAAGUCGAACGGAAAGGCCCUGCUUUUGUGGGGUGCUCGAGUUGCGAACGGGUGAGUAACACGUGAGUAACCUGCCCUUGACUUUGGGAUAACUUCAGGAAACUUGGGCUAAUACCGGAUAGGAUCUCCUGCUGCAUGGUGGGGGUUGGAAAGUUUCGGCGGUUGGGGAUGGACUCGCGGCUUAUCAGCUUGUUGGUUGGGUAGUGGCUUACCAAGGCUUUGACGGGUAGCCGGCCUGAGAGGGUGACCGGCCACAUUGGGACUGAGAUACGGCACAGACCCCUACGGGAGGCAGCAGUGCGGAAUAUUGCACAAUGGGAGGAAGCAUGAUGCAGCCAAGCCGCGUGCGGGAUGACGGCCUUCGGGUUGUAAACCACUUUCGCCUGUGACGAAGCGUGAGUGACGGUAAUGGGUAAAGAAGCACCGGCUAACUACGUG